Molecule: non-coding RNA, 355 nt
Organism: Pelobates cultripes (western spadefoot toad)
Lineage: Eukaryota; Metazoa; Chordata; Amphibia; Anura; Pelobatidae
Source: the annotation of a GenBank genome assembly
AAAAAGCCAGACAUAAUUACAUAUAUCAGUUCAAAUCCUAGCCUGCAGUGCUGAUUUUCACGGUUGUUUGAUAAUUUUCAGCAAAUACAUUCUGAGCAUGAAAUCUUUCACACCCAGAUUGAUUUGACGUAAUCAUAACAAAAUGAAGACACGUCUUUAUUUUAUGAUCCUCAUGCUUGCUACUAUCUGCUUAUGUUUCAUGUCAGUGUUAUCCCAUUUAUACCAUUAUGCAUAAUGAUGAGCAUACCUCCCAAGUGUCUCUAUUUAGGAUGGACAGUCCCUAUUUUUUGUCUCAAAUCACUAUAUCCCUUUUUUCUAUCACAUUGUCCCUCUUUUCUCGGAGCUUCAUAUUGUU